This 410-nucleotide ribosomal RNA is filed under the name uncultured Alphaproteobacteria bacterium. Its description in RNAcentral is "bacterial SSU rRNA". It matches the Rfam family "Bacterial small subunit ribosomal RNA", at positions 68 to 524 of the family's 1533-position model. Lineage: Bacteria; Pseudomonadati; Pseudomonadota; Alphaproteobacteria. The record is from RNAcentral.
GCGCCCUUCGGGGUGAGCGGCGGACGGGUGAGUAACGCGUGGGAAUAUGCCCUUCUCUAAGGAAUAGCCUCUGGAAACGGAGAGUAAUACCUUAUACGCCCUUUGGGGGAAAGAUUUAUCGGAGAAGGAUUAGCCCGCGUUAGAUUAGGUAGUUGGUGGGGUAAUGGCCUACCAAGCCUACGAUCUAUAGCUGGUUUGAGAGGAUGAUCAGCCACACUGGGACUGAGACACGGCCCAGACUCCUACGGGAGGCAGCAGUAGGGAAUCUUAGACAAUGGGGGCAACCCUGAUCUAGCCAUGCCGCGUGUGUGAUGAAGGCCCUAGGGUCGUAAAGCACUUUCGCCAGAGAUGAUAAUGACAGUAUCUGGUAAAGAAACCCCGGCUAACUCCGUGCCAGCAGCCGCGGUAAU